RNAcentral lists this ribosomal RNA (497 nucleotides) under uncultured bacterium. RNAcentral describes it as "partial 16S ribosomal RNA". It matches the Rfam family "Bacterial small subunit ribosomal RNA", at positions 28 to 507 of the family's 1533-position model. The record is from RNAcentral.
GAUGAACGCUGGCGGCGUGCCUAAUACAUGCAAGUCGAGCGAACAGAUAAGGAGCUUGCUCCUUUGACGUUAGCGGCGGACGGGUGAGUAACACGUGGGUAACCUACCUAUAAGACUGGAAUAACUCCGGGAAACCGGGGCUAAUGCCGGAUAACAUUUAGAACCGCAUGGUUCUAAAGUGAAAGAUGGUUUUGCUAUCACUGAUAGAUGGACCCGCGCCGUAUUAGCUAGUUGGUAAGGUAACGGCUUACCAAGGCAACGAUACGUAGCCGACCUGAGAGAGUGAUCGCCCAAACUGGAACUGAGACACGGUCAAGACUCCUACGAGAAGCAGCAGUAGGAAAGCUUCCGCGAUGGGCAAAAGGCUGACGGGGCCAAGCGGCGUGAUUGAUGAAGGUCUUCGGAUCGUAAAACUCUGUUAUUAGAGAAGAACAAAUGUGUAAAUAACUGUGAACGUCUUGACGGUACCUGAUCAGAGAGCCACGGCUAACUACGUG